This 624-nucleotide ribosomal RNA is filed under the name uncultured bacterium. Its description in RNAcentral is "bacterial SSU rRNA". It matches the Rfam family "Bacterial small subunit ribosomal RNA", at positions 338 to 1212 of the family's 1533-position model. The record is from RNAcentral.
CCUACGGGAGGCAGCAGUGGGGAAUUUUGGACAAUGGGCGAAAGCCUGAUCCAGCCAUUCCGCGUGCAGGAUGAAGGCCCUCGGGUUGUAAACUGCUUUUGUACAGAACGAAAAAGGUUUCUACUAAUACUAGGAGCUCAUGACGGUACUGUAAGAAUAAGCACCGGCUAACUACGUGCCAGCAGCCGCGGUAAUACGUAGGGUGCAAGCGUUAAUCGGAAUUACUGGGCGUAAAGCGUGCGCAGGCGGUUAUAUAAGUCAGAUGUGAAAUCCCCGGGCUCAACCUGGGAACUGCAUUUGAGACUGUAUAGCUAGAGUACGGUAGAGGGGGAUGGAAUUCCGCGUGUAGCAGUGAAAUGCGUAGAUAUGCGGAGGAACACCGGAUGGCGAAGGCAAUCCCCUGGACCUGUACUGACGCUCAUGCACGAAAGCGUGGGGAGCAAACAGGAUUAGAUACCCUGGUAGUCCACGCCCUAAACGAUGUCAACUGGUUGUUGGGUCUUAACUGACUCAGUAACGAAGCUAACGCGUGAAGUUGACCGCCUGGGGAGUACGGCCGCAAGGUUGAAACUCGAAAAUGAAAUUGACCGGNNGAGAGAGCGACGACGACGACGAGGGAGGAGG